This is a long non-coding RNA of Mauremys reevesii (Reeves's turtle), 388 nucleotides long. RefSeq lists it as uncharacterized. The transcript is spliced from 3 exons. NCBI's taxonomy places the organism in Eukaryota, Metazoa, Chordata, Testudines, Geoemydidae. The record is from RefSeq and is a predicted model, not a curated record.
UGCUGGAAAUUUCAUGUGGAGAGGAUGCUCCUGAAAUCUCAGGGUUCUGCUGUACUGGUGAAAUUGUUUCAAGAAUACCUUUCACAUAGCAUUAAGGGUUUCUGCAUGUUUUUUAACUUCAAAAGUUUUUAGCAAAGGUCCAGCCAAUCCAUAUUUAUUACUUUGCCUCAUUGCAAAUUCAUUCUAUCAGAGAGAUGCUGAAUCAUGAAAGCAUGAAGAACCCACAACACCACCAUGCCAGGCAGAGUAAAACUAGAGCUCUUUGAUGUGGUGGCCAAUCUCUGCUGCUAGACUGCUGUGACCUUGGCUAUUGAAGAGAUGCAAAUGCCAAAUCUAUCAUUCAGGGAUCUCAUUCAGGCUUGUGACACCUUCUGGAAUAUUUUUGGGU